Molecule: long non-coding RNA, 728 nt
Filed under: Rattus norvegicus (Norway rat)
Lineage: Eukaryota; Metazoa; Chordata; Mammalia; Rodentia; Muridae
Description: long non-coding RNA NONRATT031129
Source: RNAcentral
GUGGUAAAACCUUUGCACGAAACAAUCAUCUCCUACAACAUAAGAGAGUACACAAUGGAGAGAAACCCUAUGAAUGCAAGCAUUGUGGUAAAGCCUUUGCAUAUUAUAAUAGUCUCCAAGUGCAUAACCGAACACAUACAGGAGAGAAACCCUAUGAGUGUAAUCAAUGUGGUAAAGCCUUUUCAUGUACAAGUGGUCUCCUGCAUCAUAAACAAAUACAUAACACACACAGGGGAGAAACCUUUUGAAUAUAAUCAAUGUGUUAAAGCCUUUCCAAACCAACCUAGUCUGCAAAUACAUAAAACAACACAUACUGGAGAGAAACUGUUUGAAUGCAACCAAUGUGGUAAAGCCAUUGCAUAUUCAUGGUCUUCUCUGAAUACAUGAAAGAAUAUCUACUGGAGAUGUAUAUUAUGAGUGCAAGCAAUGAAGCCUUUGCACACAUCUGUAGUCAUCAUCAUGGAAGAAUCCAUACUGGAUAGAAACUCUGAAUGUAUUUAAUAUGGUGAAGCCUUUUCAAAUUCCACAAAAGACUUUCAUAAUCAUCAAAGAGAAACCCUAUAAAUGUAUUUAAUAUGGUGAAACCUUUGCACAUUUCUACAGUUUUCAUCAUCAUGAAAGUACUCACACUGUAGAGAAAGUCUGUGAGUGUAGCAAUGUGGAAAAGCCUAUGUGUAAUAUGGUCCGCUGAGAUCCAACACAACUCAAACUCAUGCUAUGAAAAUGAC